CCUCUGCCUGCUCAGGGGAAAUGUAGUGAAUGUGGGUAUCCACAGCACCAGCGGUCACAAUACGACCCUGGCCUGCAAUAACCUCGGUGCCAACGCCAACGACAAUGUCAAUGUCGUCCUGCACGUCCGGGUUACCGGCAGCACCGAUCUUGGCAAUCUUGCCAUCCUUGAUUGCAAUGUCAGCAACGUAAAUACCGGUGUAGUCAAUCACGGUCGCGCCGGUGAUAACAACGUCCGGAAUCUGCUCGUCGCCCAUCGUGCGGCUGUUCUGGCCCAUGCCGUCACGG
RNAcentral lists this small RNA (287 nucleotides) under Corynebacterium riegelii. RNAcentral describes it as "5' ureB small RNA". It matches the Rfam family "5' ureB small RNA". The record is from Rfam by way of RNAcentral. Lineage: Bacteria; Bacillati; Actinomycetota; Actinomycetes; Mycobacteriales; Corynebacteriaceae.